RNAcentral lists this ribosomal RNA (492 nucleotides) under uncultured bacterium. Its description in RNAcentral is "bacterial SSU rRNA". It matches the Rfam family "Bacterial small subunit ribosomal RNA", at positions 28 to 526 of the family's 1533-position model. The record is from RNAcentral.
AACGAACGUUGGCGGCGUGGAUUAGGCAUGCAAGUCGAACGAAUCCCACCUGGGCAACUGGGUGGGGGAAGUGGCGAAAGGGGCAGUAAGGCGUGGGUAACCUGCCCCGGGGUUGGGGAUAGCCCCUCUAACGAGGGGGUAAUACCCGAUGUCCUGGCGAGGGGGUAACCUCUUGUCAAGAAAGCUCAGGCGCCCCGGGAGGGGCCCACGUGGUAUUAGCUAGUUGGUGGGGUAACGGCCCACCAAGGCCAAGAUGCCUAGCAGGUGUGAGAGCACGACCUGCGCCACUGGCACUGGGACACUGGCCAGACUCCUACGGGAGGCUGCAGUCGAGGAUCUUCGGCAAUGGGCGCAAGCCUGACCGAGCGACGCCGCGUGUGCGAUGAAGGCCUUCGGGUUGUAAAGCACUGUCGAGGGGGAGAAAGGCCGCAAGGCGUGAUCGACCCCUGGAGGAAGCACGGGCUAAGUUCGUGCCAGCAGCCGCCGUAAAAC